This is a long non-coding RNA of Solanum verrucosum, 159 nucleotides long. RefSeq lists it as uncharacterized. The transcript has 3 exons. Lineage: Eukaryota; Viridiplantae; Streptophyta; Magnoliopsida; Solanales; Solanaceae. The record is from RefSeq and is a predicted model, not a curated record.
UUUUUUACCAUGCCAGAGUCUACAAAUGGGGCCAUAAGUUUGGGAAAGAGAUGCAAAAUAGGUGUGAAGUUGAGGAUCAAGAGAAUGGAGAUUACCUACCAAGGGCAAAGCUUUAGGCCCUGGUGGCAAUCUCUUGUUUGAGUUACUGAUGAAAAACCA